This 355-nucleotide long non-coding RNA is filed under the name Lathyrus oleraceus (garden pea). Its description in RNAcentral is "Pisum sativum (pea) long non-coding RNA (PSAT_LNC035244)". Lineage: Eukaryota; Viridiplantae; Streptophyta; Magnoliopsida; Fabales; Fabaceae. The record is from RNAcentral.
ACUUCCUUACUCUGUUCAGAGUCAAUGUGAUAUUAUUAAGUUGUAUUAAAAUUCUAAGUUUUGGGUAAACCCCAUAAGUAUCGAAAACCAAGGUGAGUGCGAAAAAAAUGGAAUAAGAAAAAAAAUGAUCAUCGAAAAAAAGAGAAAAUGAAAAGUACUCGAUGGUUCGAAAAGAAGCACUCACCGAAGGAAGAGAGCUCGAUUGAAAAAAAAAGAGAGAGAAUAUCCAAGACCGAGCGAUUGAAAAAAAAGAAAAAAAAGUGAAAUGAACAAAGACAGUGGGAAGAAUAUUGGCAUUGGCUUUGAACCCAAAACCACUUGUUUUCCUUUUUUUUUGUAUUCACCACACCAUUAC